Bombus huntii is the source of this 9774-nucleotide long non-coding RNA. RefSeq lists it as uncharacterized. The transcript is spliced from 3 exons. NCBI's taxonomy places the organism in Eukaryota, Metazoa, Arthropoda, Insecta, Hymenoptera, Apidae. The record is from RefSeq and is a predicted model, not a curated record.
AGUUUAUCUUUGUUUUAUCUAUUUCAAGAAACAUAAUUUAUAAUAAUAGCAAUACAAAUAAUGAAACUAAAUAUGAUUCGACUAGCGAAUUACGCAAUUUUCUUAGGAAAUUUAAUUCGGUAAAAUUGCAUUCCUUUUGUGCCAUUUUAGCUCUAUUUUGAGAGACUGCAAUACUUCAAAACGUUGAGGAAUAUCAUCAUUACUAUUAUACUCAUGUUGCAGUUCAUUAUUUGAAGCACACAUUGAAGCAAGCAUAAUAAGCAUAGCUAAGCAUCACAUUAGUAUCAUGGUCAAUUGAAGAAGAUUCAUCACAUUGAGACUAUUCUAUAUGCGUCUAUACCACAACAUUGGCGUUGUCACAAUCACCGUAUUCGAUAUAGAAAGAAUUUCUUCCACAUCUGUCGUAAUAUUAUGUUUCACCUCUGCCUUUAUGGUGUCUUUAAUGUAGUUCGCUAGCUUUUUCCAUGCUCUUCUUAGUGUCACACAUUUGGCAUCCAUCCAAGAAGCAUAUGCCGCCAUACAACAACAAUCCUUGGAAUUGCUUGCGAAGUUGUACCAUUCUUUCGUGAGUAGCAUCGUUGAUCGUUGACAAAAAUUUUUAUAGAGGAAUGAGCUUGUUAAUGCGGAACGUGUCGAAUGAGAUGUUCGGAUAAAAGAGAAUUCGGAUAACAGGGUUUCGGAUAAUCAAGGUCAUACCGUAUUAUUAUCAUUGCGCACCGUGAAUUAUUUUUAUCCAUAAAAUUCAUAGGACAACGCUUUUCUGAAGUUAGGACGUUACAUUUUUUACAAUAUUAUCACAGUUAAUUUGUUGAACAUAAUAAUAAAUGUACGGUAUAAACGCAUAUUAAGCGCAAUUACAGUAUAUAAAUAAUGGCGUAAUAAUAACAGUCUACGUAAUCGAGUUGAAACUUUUUACGUAUUAACAAUGUUGUAAUUAUGCAGCCAUCCACCGGCUAUUAAUAGGUGUAAAUAUAAAUUCUUUCCGAUUGAAUUCACAUAAACGAUACGGCCAUUCAAAUCGAAAUAUUCUCCCGUUCCUUUGUGAUUUUCCAGCGUUCGCAGACAAGUUUGUAGUCGCGCAACAACGCCGUAUAGUCAUGCAGUAAGUCGCAGCAACGUACAUCAGAACAUAUUACAGUCGUCGCACCAUAAUCUUAUGAAUUACUAGUACACACCAUAGCUGCCAGUAAACAACGUACAUAGCACGUUAUAUUGUUUGCGUUUAAUCUGAGGAAAGCUACGACAGAAGCCACAGAAACAUAUAUCUUUUAGAAUAGGAGAUAGAACGGGGGAAGGAAUUUACUUAAUCACUGAUCUACGCACACAGAAGCUUACGCUCGUCCACUCAGCCUCGUAAACUCCGAAGAAAACAACCUGGUGACCUUCUACUUUUUCUACAUAUAUAUUUGCACACUUUGUGCAUAUAUACAUACAAAUAAAUUAAUUUUUGAACAUUUUUUUACAUACAUUUUUUUUUAAUUUUGAAUUUUACCCACCUUAGCAUAGUAGUUACCCAAAACGUAACAAAACAACUUAGAGCCAUCGAUGCUACACGACUCUCCCCUAGCUGACUGAUUGUCAUCGUCAUCGGCGAUCAGUUAUCAGCGAAAUAUACUUCUGCAUAAACAGAAUUGAAAAACUCAUAUCAAGAAUCCAUUGUAGGAGAUCGAAUAAUGAGGCUACAAACAUAAACAAAACCAUAAACAAAAUGUAAUUUUGUACAGGCGCCAUCAUAAUAUUUAGAAGUGUUCGUGGCACGUAGUCCCAUUCUGUUAUACCAAUCUGGGGUUAGAGGUUAGGUCGCAAAGAGGUUAGGUUGCAAAGACUCUAAGGUGUCUAGAAUAUACCAAGAGGAUAACGUGUCGAUAGCUUUCAAACGAAAUAAAACAGUAACAGUCAUCUCAAUACGAAUUAUUUAUUAAUACUUGAAAAUGAUGUAUUAUUUAUAAUAAAUUAUUUGAUAAAUAAAUAAAUAAAUUGCAAAAGUUAUGUGAUAUUGCUUCUCAUCUUUUAGCUGCUCGAUGGUGUUUGGUACAUUGACAUAUGCUUUACUUUUCCCACGAGAAAAUCCCACGAGAAGACGUCCGGCAUAGUUAAAUCACAAGAUCUAUGCGAUCUGAUGAUAUAGCGAACGUAACUUGUGCGAGGUCAUCGUCAUCGACGAAUUGCUUUGAUAAAAUGUUCUAUUUAAAAUCGUGACUCACUCUUGAACUGUGCUACGCUCUAUGCUAUUAAUUUGCCACGAAUCCGUGAAACAAUUGCCAAAGUGGAACAAAAGAUGACGCGUCGUUCCAGGCUCGAGAGAGUUUCAAAUUAGUCAGUUGUGCAUUAUCCACCCUGUAGUAUUAUCAUUAUAUGUGUUAUCAGGUAUUAUAAGUACAUCUUAAUAUAGUUAAUGUAUUUUGUAUCUAUGUGUAUGCGCGCGCGCGCGCGAAUAUGUGUAUUUUAAAGCUUCCCGAUGCGGUUUUCAUAACACAAAGAUUCUUCAAUUCAAAUAAAAUGCUGGCAUCGUUCAUGUCGUUCUUUAUAACGUUGUAAGAAAGCUAAGAAUAUGUGCCAGAGAUCCAUUGUACCUAUCGUGCGCCGCGUGAAUUGAAGAAAAACAAUAUUUUGCGAGGUUAUGUAACAAAUUCGUUCGCAUUUCUUAAAAAUAGGAAACCUCAAACAUCGUUACUCUUAUAUAAGAAGUACUUAAUUAACGAUGUAUAUAUUAUUUUCUAAGGAAUGAGUAACUUAUUCGCAUUAUUAUUUCGAAGCUUUCGUUGUUUUCUUAAAAAUGUUUCGAUACGUGCGUUUUUAAAUUCUUGGAAUUAUUUAACGGUUACUCGUGAAAAAAGCUUCCCAAAUGUCAAAACAAUUAAUAUCCCAAUAUUAAUAGCACAGUUGGUGUCCCAACAAUUUCUGACAUUUAUGGAAAGAAACUAAUAAUUAUAUAAUCUGAAAGAAAUUAAUAAUUUCUACCGUAUGAUGGAAGAAUUCCCAAAAUUUAAUAAACAAAGUAAAACUGCUGUUUAGGUCCCGCUUCUAACGACCUUCACCUUCACAGGUGCCAUCAAAGUGUUAUGCCAUCAAAGUCAACCUCAUAUUAUCCCUUCAACCUGCAGAAGAUUUCAGCCGCCGUUUGUUCAGCGCUUGUUGUUUGUCGAGAAGUUAUUAAUGAAAUAAUUUUAACAAGUCGAACGUAUCUUAUCGACGUUAAAUACAUAUUUAAUGAGCCAGCAUAUGGUACGUGCAUACGCGUUGUAUACUAAUAUUACCGAACUUACGGCUCUGUUAGAAUUUGAGGUUAGGUUUGUGUUAGGUCGUUCGUUAUCGGCUGCGCUAGCCUAAACGAUUUACGUAUUCGCGGGAAGAAAUGCGAAGAAUUCUAGGAAUUGGGUCGAAAAAACACGGGAGUAAGUUGGAAAGUAUUCCAAACUUCACCCGAAAAUAGGAUGUGACUUCUGCCCGAGUGUUCCGAAUAUCAACGCGGAGAAAUUCAAGAAAGCGGGAGUUAACUGCCAGAGUAACUACGGACCUUCUUAACUACGUUAUCAUAAUUAAGUUUGGGUAUUUUUACCUCGCCUACCCUAACCUAACCCUAACCCCAAUUCAAAUGGAACGAAACGAUUAUGGACACAGCAUUUGUACCUGCCUUUGCGCACGAAGCGUCAAUAAUUUUUUAAGAAAUAACGAACGACGUCUAAAAACUUCUGGGGGUUACUGAGGAAGACGACCUUGACGACGAGUGUUAAGGUCAAGGCCAUUGAAUGUGGCCCCGCUAAACAGCAGUUUCACCACCGUAUUUAUUAUUUUACUUACACGUUUGUGUGUUGCAAUUAACGUACACGCAUGUAAUACUUUUUUAAUAUUGUCUUUUUUAAUAAUAAGCGAAUUUAUUACGCAAUCUAAUAGUCACGGACGUGGCAAAAAAUAUCUUCCAAAUAUCUGGAGAACAUGUUCCGAAUGUAAGAAAAUAAAAAUGUAAAAGAGUAAAUAUAAGAAAUGAUUUUUGUGAAUUUCAAAAUUGUAACGUUAAACGAAACGAUGAAGCAAGGUCCGAUCGUUCGUAACGAUGUAAUGUACGAGGCAUUGGGAUGUUAAAUAUUUAACUAAAGGAAAAACACGUUUAAUUGCUGAACAAGUGGCAGAAAAUGUAUAAUAUUAACGAAACGCAUUCUUCGCAACGAACAGUCGCCGCGUCGUUGUUAAUUCGUUUUGACGAGAUCGAAAAUAAUAUCAUCCGUUCCUCGACAGGACCAUAACUGCGGAUGAAAAAUAGCUUCUGUAUGAAAGCUGCACUCGUAAAAAGCAAUGGCUAUCGUGUGGUCUAGGAGCAGUGCUUACUGUGAAAUUUGAUUUUCGUCUUAGGAGAACUUUAAUGUGUGUUUUAUGCGAUAUAAGGAAUCAUUUAUUGCAAACUUUUCAAACUAAUUAAACGUUAAAACAAAAUAAGACCACGACGGUUGCAGUUUAUAGCGAACAAUUAAAUAGAUUAAGCGUAACUUCGAGAGAUAAAUCGGCAGUAACAAAUAGCAAAAAAUAGCGCGUUUUUUUUUUAAUCGACGACGCUCAGACACAUGCAAAUAGAACGAUAGAGAGAAUUAACGAAUUUAACUGGAAAUUGGUAUCGCAUCCGUUACGCCCUCUCUUCUUCUGACGCGUUAUGAUUUAUUUCACAAAAUUUUCCGCGUGGCAGCAACUUUUGCGGCACGGGUCAUUUAAACGUGAGGUUGGAUCAAUUUUUCAAUCUAAAAGGCGAGAUUAACAGAUUUAAAAGUGAGAAAUUCACGUCGCAAAAUCGCCGAUGUAUCGUCGAUUGAAGUUGAAUAUCGAGCACUCCAAACGUAAUCACAGAAAAACAUUAGGCUGCUGCGUAUGAAGCGACGGCUUCACACGUGUCGCAGCAAAUCAGCAUCUUUCUUUCACGGAGAGUUCACAGACGACGAUGAAUAAAAUUCGAGUCCGGAGACCAUUCGCGGAUUAAAGUCACGUUCACACUGACGGACAAUUGUCGACAGAUACACACGACGGAGUAGUGGAAGGGAGGGGGGAGAGCUCCGUAAAAAGCACGUAGACAAGAAUUUCGUUUUCCAUUCGAAAUGUAAAAUAAAAGACAACGUCUGCGGGCGAAUAUAGAAAGAAUGUGCUUUUCGCCCCGUUUGAGAAGCAGCGAUCCGUAUAUGUAUUGAGGCAAGGAAAGGCGAAAACAGGAAAUUUGAAAAUGCAUGCUGUUCGUCGAAAUCACUGCAAAGUCACGCACCACCUCUUCCUGGAUAUGUCGUAAAGAAUUCUCCGUAAAUCGAACAAAGGUCGGGAAACUGUCAGUAUCGAACAAGAAGAAUAUUCUGGCAGGGUUGAACAACGAAUAAAAUCAUUAAAUUCUGGGUUUCUGUUAAAUAUUGUUAACUGAACAUACAUGUAGCAUUUUACGGCAAACAAUUUUUUCGUCGUUAUAAUAUUAAUUAUUUAUAUUUCUAUGACACACUAUAUAUUUAAAAGAUACAAUUUCGAAAGUUUAGGGUAUUCUUCUUUGUAUUUGAGAGGGUUCGACUGCUUGAUAAUGGUCAUAUUUCUACAAAGGUUAUCGAUUUCAAUAAUCCGUGUGUUUCAUCUCCAACACAUCGAUAACCAGAUGUACCCGGAUAUAUAAAUUUAUUAACUUAGCCUGUUAACUGACAGCUAUAUAACACAGUUCCAUUUGAGGUGACCCUAUUGUCGCCUUAAAAAAUUGAAGGUAAAAAUUUUCUCUUUCACAGUGACAUUCUAUGUAAGACAUGACAAUGAGAAUCUCCAUAUGUACUUUUGCCCCGUCGCUUUUGCAGACUCAGUUGUUAUAUCAAACGGCGUUCAUGAUGGGACACCCUGUAUAACGUUUAUUAUUAUCCGCAGUUUUCGAUAUCCGCGAAAGGAAUUUGUAAUUUUCUGAUAGUCACUGAUUAUACUAUCCGAUAGUUAUAUAGCUGUAGUACACCGCUAUUUUACUAUACAUUUUAAUCCAAGUAAACUUUUCAAACUCGACAUUAACACAGAACAGAUCAUCCAUUAAAUCUUCCCUUUUCCUAUUUUAGGUUCUAGCAGCUCCAGCGAAACAACCAUGCCUCCUCCCUCCCCUUCUUUUCCUAGAAUUCUUCUUCUUGCUCCUGUCUCACACCUGCCAAACAUGUUCCCACGUUUCUUCAUCCAAAUCGCACAGCCUGCAAUCUCUACUCUCCUCACUCACCCAAUAUUUGCUUUCUUUCAUUCCAUUGCCAAAGUAAUUCUGGCCACCCGUCUUAAACUUUCUCCGCUCCAGCCUUGAUCGAAGUACUUUGAAAUCCCCUCUCCUUUUCACCAUCUGUACUAUCUGUUGUAUUUUGAUUUCUCUAUCCUUUGCCAUCUCUCUCUCUCUCUCUUGGGCUUCUCUAUUCAUCCCUACUAACUCUUCUUAACUUCCUUCUUAGCUCUUCUUAAGAGCCUCCUCCUCUUCUCCUAUAGCCAACAUAUGGUUCCCUGUUCCCUUUGUCAACAUAACCUCUUUCCUUUCCUUCUUCUAUCCUCCCCUUAUUUUGCUUCUUCUAACUUCUUUCCUACUCUCUUGCGAACAUUCUCCUGCAAGCUUGCCAUCUUUUCUCUGUCACAGCUUCUGUUCAUAGUUUCACCCUGCGUUUCCUGUUCGUGUCUUCAUCAGAUCCCUCUGGAACUCUUCUCUAAUCAUAAUAUAAAAACAUAUACUGGCGUCCAUCAGUCCACCCUAACGUCCGGCUCAAGAAACUUUCAGUCUAAUUUUGCACUCUUUCAAUCACCCUUCUCUCUUGCCAAUCCGAAACUUUCACACCAACUUGUCGAAUGACCGUAACCUCAUCUACCAUUCCAUUCCAAAUACUCUCUUUCCUAUCCUCUAUACUGAUCUCAUAACUCUUACUGUCUUUUUCACUCUUUCCCUUAUUUGUACUCUUUCACCUCCGUUCCUCAUCAUCCUGUUCCCUGGAGUAAGUAAGAUCCCUUCCUUGUUCUAUCUUUUUCUCUCAGUCCAUUUUCUUCGUCCUUGCUUUUACUGUUUUAAAUCUUAUUAUUAUACAAAAGGAACGAAGAACAAAGUAACUAUGCAUUUACUUACAUCAAAAGAAUUAUGUGACUUAUCGGUUAAAGAGAUUGGGGAUCUAUAAAUAUUUGAAGAAACGGACAAUUAAUCUUCAUCUAAAUUUGAAUAAAUGAAAUUUCAGGUCAGGAAAGUGAUUGUUCUAUUAUCCGAACAGUUUUGCCUCCCCAUCAGUGCGGAUAAUGGAGGCCAUACUGUAACGAAUGCUCGUUAAUAUUUCGCAUUGCUUCCACAGCACCAUGUCUCAAUUUAUAUUCGUAAAGAUAAAUUAUUCGAAUUUCAUCGGGGUCCAUCAUUCGCCUUCUCUUGUUCUCUCGUAACCUCACUUUAUCAACCAAUGCGAAACGUGAUGAAUGCUAUAGGAUAUGGGCUUUAACAUAUCACGUGACAUUUGAUAUUUACCGAUGAUUUUAUUUAUGGAAGAUUUAGUUUAAGUAAAAUGUGUCAGUUUGGGAGAACUACGCAUUUCAUGCGUAACAACUUAAUAAAUUAUAUAUAAAUUAUGUUUAUAUUAAAUUAUAUAUUAUAUUUAUAUUAAAUUAUAUAUAAAUUAUAUUUAUUAUAUAUAAAUUAUAUAUUCCUUUCGCGGAUAUCGAAAAUCGCAGAUAAUAAUAAAUAUUAUACAGGGUAUCCCAUGAUAGGUGCCGUUUGACAUAAUUGCUAGAUAUAUGUAUAUGUAGAUAGAAAUAUGUAAGGAAACUUUUAUCUCCAUUUUUUUAUGUAGAAUGUCACCGUAAAAAUGUAAACUUUUAUCGUCAACUUUAUCGUCAUCUCUACUUUUUUUUAAAUGCAAGUAUGUACACAUUUUUUAUUCACCACUUGGUGCAUUUUUUCAUUCUGUACGAGGUAUUUGUGUUGGAAGGUAAGAUAUUUUAACUCCAAUGUUGUCAGACUUAUCGCAUGAAAGACUUUAACAUGAAAUGUAUAUUAAAACUGUCGUAGGAUAUUGUAUCUAACUUUUUCCUUUAUGUUUUCCUUAUUAUAACCUUAAAAAAUUGAAAGUGAAAGUUUGUUUCUUCGCAGUGACAUUCUACAUAAAAAUUGAUAUUAAAGUUACAUUUUUAUCUUAUCAUGUACUAUUUAUUAAUUACAUCAAACGGUAUCUAUCGAUGGACACCCUAUAUAUUGUACAUGCUGAAAGUACGUACUUACGAUGCAGUUAGUUUAUGAAUUAAGCAUAAUAAGAAAUCAACAAUCGUAAUCAAUAUCACAAUUAUAAUUUUUACAAGCACAUAAUUUGUACAAGUUCUGGAAAAACAUUUACAGGUCUGUGAAAUAGAUGCCAAAUGUAUCUUUUACUCAAAUAAUGGAAUCGUUAUUAAUAAUUUUCACUUAUUUCGUAAUUGCUGCAAGUUGGAGCAUGGGCGGCUACGUAGUCGAGGUCCUUUUAGGUUAUGAAAUUAUCAAGCAAUUAUGAAGUAAAUCCAAUGUUGUUGAUCGCACUAGUUGUCAAAAGAAAUAAACGUGGGGGCGAACCGAUGUAUGGCUAAUGUUGGCAGCUCCAAGAGUUUGGUUAUCGUGGACAAACUGACGUAUGGUUAACGCCAGAAGCCACAGGAAAGGUCAAGAUGUGGGAACGAAUCAGCGUAUGGCUAACGCCUGGAGCGCCAUGAAAGUGAUAUGGGAACGAACCAACGUGUGGGUAACGCUUCGAGUUGCAGGAAAUCCUAAUAGUACACCUCGUAACGUUUAACUAAUCGGUGCACCUCGAGCGGUAAAGCUAUACCGGGUAGAACAGAAAGUUCGUUCCGUUUCUCGUAGCGAGAUAGAUCUGAGUUUAGACGAAAGCUAUUAACUUUAAUUUAAUUGACCUAACUUAGUUGACCAAUUGCUGAUGAGGUAACACUCAAUCGAGUUAACACAAUAGAGUGUAAAACAAACAAUCUUGGUAGAAUUUGUUUUUUUCUGGCUAGGCAUAAGUCCACACAUGCUUCGCCAAGGCGAGACAAGAGUUUAUGCUAUGAUUAUUAACCUCAAUUUAAUUGAUCUAACAUGUUAUUGUCUGAUAAAUUAACAGUCAAUUGUAAAGUGUAAAACAAAUAAUUUUGGAAGAAUUUAUCUUUUUCUGGCCAGGCACAAGUCCACACAUGCUUCGCCAAGGCGAGACAAGAGUUUAUGCUAUGAUUAUUAACCUCAAUUUAAUUGAUCUAACAUGUUAUUGUCUGAUAAAUUAACAGUCAAUUGUAGAGAGUAAAACAAACAAUUUUGGAAGAAUUUAUCUUUUUCUGGCCAGGCACAAGCUUCGCCAAGGCGAGACAAGAGUUUAUGCUAUAACUAUUAACCUCAAUUUAAUUGAUCUAACAUGUUAUUGUUUGAUGAGUUGCCAGUAAAUUGUAGAAUAUAAAGCAAACAAUUUUGGAAGAAUUUAUCUUUUUCUGGUCAGGCACAAGUCCACACAUGCUUCGCCAAGGCGAGACAAGAGUUUAUGUUAUGACUAUUAACCUCAAUUUAAUUGAUAAACCUGCUUUAUACCCAAAGGUUAGGAAAAAGGGAGUAGUGAAGUCAGAAGAAAUCUAUGCAUAAUACGAGAUUUUCGUGGAUAAAAUUCUUGCUUUCCGUUGUUUGCGAGCUUCGAUAAUCCAAAUCGAGCGUACGUGCGACCUCCAAAAAAGGGAAUUGUAUGAUACGAACGUAACAUAAAUAUAAAAAGGAGAAAGUAUUGUAGAGAUUUACGUAACCAAUUCAAACAGCGAUAUUUCAAACCGCUAUAUCGA